CAUUAUACCGUGAAACUGCGAAUGGCUCAUUAAAUCAGUUAUCGUUUAUUUGAUAGUACCUUACUACUUGGAUAACCGUGGUAAUUCUAGAGCUAAUACAUGCUGAAAACCCCAACUUCGGGAGGGGUGUAUUUAUUAGAUAAAAAACCAACGCCCUUCGGGGCUUCUUGGUGAUUCAUGAUAACUUUACGGAUCGCAUGGCCUUGCGCCGGCGACGGUUCAUUCAAAUUUCUGCCCUAUCAACUUUCGAUGGUAAGGUAUUGGCUUACCAUGGUUUCAACGGGUAACGGGGAAUUAGGGUUCGAUUCCGGAGAGGGAGCCUGAGAAACGGCUACCACAUCCAAGGAAGGCAGCAGGCGCGCAAAUUACCCAAUCCCGACACGGGGAGGUAGUGACAAUAAAUACUGAUACAGGGCUCUUUUGGGUCUUGUAAUUGGAAUGAGUACAAUUUAAACCUCUUAACGAGGAACAAUUGGAGGGCAAGUCUGGUGCCAGCAGCCGCGGUAAUUCCAGCUCCAAUAGCGUAUAUUAAAGUUGUUGCAGUUAAAAAGCUCGUAGUUGAAACUUGGGUCUGGCUGGCAGGUCCGCCUCACCGCGUGUACUUGUCCGGCCGGGCCUUCCUUCUGGAGAACCUCAUGCCCUUCACUGGGCGUGUUGGGGACCAGGACUUUUACUUUGAAAAAAUUAGAGUGUUCAAAGCAGGCCUUUGCUCGAAUACGUUAGCAUGGAAUAAUAGAAUAGGACGUGCGGUUCUAUUUUGUUGGUUUCUAGGACCGCCGUAAUGAUUAAUAGGGACAGUCGGGGGCAUCAGUAUUCAAUUGUCAGAGGUGAAAUUCUUGGAUUUAUUGAAGACUAACUACUGCGAAAGCAUUUGCCAAGGAUGUUUUCAUUAAUCAGUGAACGAAAGUUAGGGGAUCGAAGACGAUCAGAUACCGUCGUAGUCUUAACCGUAAACUAUGCCGACUAGGGAUCGGGCGAUGUUCUUUUUUUUGAC
This 994-nucleotide ribosomal RNA is filed under the name Pyrenochaetopsis leptospora. RNAcentral's name for it is "SSU rRNA". It matches the Rfam family "Eukaryotic small subunit ribosomal RNA", at positions 72 to 1075 of the family's 1831-position model. The record is from RNAcentral. Lineage: Eukaryota; Fungi; Ascomycota; Dothideomycetes; Pleosporales; Pyrenochaetopsidaceae.